GGUAAGAUCUGGCGGACAGCGGGUGUAAUUCGGAUGGUGCCAGGGUUAAUUGGGAUGACUGGUCGGGAAUUGUGCGGAGUCGGCCGGGCAAGGCGAGUUGGAAGUCCCAGUGCUUAACUUGGUAAUUGCGCUCGAAACUACGAGGCUGUAGUGUUGCAGAGGAAGGCGGAAUUCCAGGUGUAGCGUUGAAAUGCGUAGAUAUCUGGAGGAACACCUAUGGCGAAGGCAGCCUUCUGGGCCAACACUGACGCUCAUGCACGAAAGCGUGGGGAGCAAACAGUAGUAGAUACCCUGGUAGUC
RNAcentral lists this ribosomal RNA (300 nucleotides) under uncultured Kroppenstedtia sp. RNAcentral's name for it is "bacterial SSU rRNA". It matches the Rfam family "Bacterial small subunit ribosomal RNA", at positions 495 to 795 of the family's 1533-position model. Lineage: Bacteria; Bacillati; Bacillota; Bacilli; Caryophanales; Thermoactinomycetaceae. The record is from RNAcentral.